This 253-nucleotide ribosomal RNA is filed under the name uncultured bacterium. Its description in RNAcentral is "partial 16S ribosomal RNA". It matches the Rfam family "Bacterial small subunit ribosomal RNA", at positions 524 to 776 of the family's 1533-position model. The record is from RNAcentral.
UACGUAGGGUGCAAGCGUUAAUCGGAAUUACUGGGCGUAAAGCGUGCGCAGGCGGUUAUGUAAGACAGUUGUGAAAUCCCCGGGCUCAACCUGGGAACUGCAUCUGUGACUGCAUAGCUAGAGUACGGUAGAGGGGGAUGGAAUUCCGCGUGUAGCAGUGAAAUGCGUAGAUAUGCGGAGGAACACCGAUGGCGAAGGCAAUCCCCUGGACCUGCACUGACGCUCAUGCACGAAAGCGUGGGGAGCAAACAGG